This 72-nucleotide transfer RNA is filed under the name Ascosphaera apis ARSEF 7405. Its description in RNAcentral is "tRNA-Ala (CGC) (tRNA-Ala-CGC-2-1)". It matches the Rfam family "tRNA". From Rfam's summary of the family: Transfer RNA (tRNA) molecules are approximately 80 nucleotides in length. Their secondary structure includes four short double-helical elements and three loops (D, anti-codon, and T loops). Further hydrogen bonds mediate the characteristic L-shaped molecular structure. tRNAs have two regions of fundamental functional importance: the anti-codon, which is responsible for specific mRNA codon recognition, and the 3' end, to which the tRNAs corresponding amino acid is attached (by aminoacyl-tRNA synthetases). tRNAs cope with the degeneracy of the genetic code in two manners: having more than one tRNA (with a specific anti-codon) for a particular amino acid; and 'wobble' base-pairing, i.e. permitting non-standard base-pairing at the 3rd anti-codon position. The record is from Rfam by way of RNAcentral. Lineage: Eukaryota; Fungi; Ascomycota; Eurotiomycetes; Onygenales; Ascosphaeraceae.
GGGCGUUUGGUUUAGUGGUAUAAUUCCCCAUUCGCAUUGGGGCGGUCCUGGGUUCGAUUCCCAGAACGUCCA